Molecule: ribosomal RNA, 748 nt
Filed under: uncultured bacterium
Lineage: Bacteria
Description: bacterial SSU rRNA
Rfam family: Bacterial small subunit ribosomal RNA
Source: RNAcentral
AGAGUUUGAUCCUGGCUCAGGAUGACGCUGGCGGUCUGCUUAACACAUGCAAAGUCGAACGAAUCCCUUCGGGGAUUAGUGGCGGACGGGUGAGUAACGCGUGAGAAUUUACCAAAAGGACUGGGACAACCACUGGAAACGGUGGCUAAUACCGGAUAAGCCGAAAAGUAAAAAGGGAAACCUGCCUUUUGAAAAGCUCGCGUCUGAUUAGCUAGUUGGUGAGGUAAUAGCUCACCAAGGCAGCGAUCAGUAGCUGGUCUGAGAGGAUGACCAGCCACACUGGGACUGAGACACGGCCCAGACUCCUACGGGAGGCAGCAGUGGGGAAUUUUCCGCAAUGGGCGAAAGCCUGACGGAGCAAGACCGCGUGAGGGAAGAAGGCUCUUGGGUCGUAAACCUCUUUUAUCAGGGAAGAAAAAAAUGACGGUACCUGAAGAAUCAGCCUCGGCUAACUCCGUGCCAGCAGCCGCGGUAAUACGGAGGAGGCAAGCGUUAUCCGGAAUUAUUGGGCGUAAAGCGUCCGCAGGUGGCUUAUCAAGUCUGCUGUCAAAGAGUGGGGCUUAACCCCAUUAAGGCAGUGGAAACUGAGAAGCUAGAGUGCCGUAGGGGUAGAGGGAAUUCCCGGUGUAGCGGUGAAAUGCGUAGAGAUCGGGAAGAACAUCGGUGGCGAAAGCGCUCUACUGGACGGCAACUGACACUCAGGGACGAAAGCUAGGGGAGCGAAUGGGAUUAGAUACCCUAGUAGUCC